GGGGUUAGGUGUAGGGGGCGCGGGGAGUGACCAGGGAGGAGGAGGAAGGGAGCAGGCGGCGGAGCGAGGGAGCGAGAGGAGGGAGCAGCGGCACCGGAAGCCGGAUCCUCGGGGCCGCCGAUGACGAGGAGGAGGUGGUGGAGCGGAGAAAGAGGAGGAGCGGAAGGGUAGCGAGCGCGCGUACAGUGGCGGCAGCUUCUUGUGCCCUCACGCCCAGAAGUUCAACCCCACCAGUCCUCCCGAAGGGUUGGACUGCCGCGGAGGAGGAGGAGCGUCGCAGCAUCGCGCACGUGGAAGAAUAGGGGGGAGGAGGGAGGGAGCAGUGAUGAAGGUGGUCAAGGGAGGGAAGGAGCAGACACCUGCGACGACUGGGGAGGAGGCCGGAGACGCAGAGGCGGGUCCGCCGUUCCGGGGGUCGGGGGGAGCCCGGAGCCGGGGAGGCAUGUCGGGCGAAGACGGAGCAGGUUGAGCGACGAAUCGAGGGGUCCGAGCCUCCCGUCGCCCGCGCCGUCCGAACCGUCCGUCGCCCGCGCCACCAGUUCCGGUCCCCGCGCCUAACCCCUCUACGCGUGUGCUCCUCGCUGCCGCUGGCACAGACGGCGGUUGUGACUCGAGAAGCAAGAAAGUUCGGGAUACAACGAAUGAGUUUACAAACACCGCUAACAUAGGAACACGGUACUUAUAAACAUGAAUCGUCUAGUUAUACUUGUAUAACCAAUAGAUAAAUGGUUAAGUCUUAAAUUUUGUGAAAUAAAAUACCGGAACUCAUUUUCAAGUCAGUAACAACCGACCUUCUGUAGAAGUUAUGCGACAGUUGUGCUCGAAGGGUUCCAUUACUAGAUUCUCCUUCACUCAAGCUCUACUCUACCCCUGUCUUCUAGGACGUCGCUACAACAAAGAACAAGAGGACGAGUUCCAAACGAGAAAGGAUGAAUGACAGUACCACCAACCAAGUGACGAGCAAAAUAACAAAGCCUUAAUCGGCGGACAGCACAAAACUAAACGGAGCACGACGAAUAUAAAGCACAAACGCACACCCUUCCUACACACGAUAUCUAAAACACACACGUAGGCUCUAUGGAUCUUACCAACUCUUGACUUACACAACGGGAUAAAUUAACCGUAUAAGUUGAAUUAAUUAUGCGGAAAAUCGGCACUGAAGACGGGUUUGAAAACUUUCACGUCUACUAGUGCGAUAGCCCAUUACCACAAAAGAUAACGUUAAACAGUCGAUAUGAUGUACGACGGGGACAAAGAAAACGAGACGAUUUUUACACACGAAUGAAAGUUAGAAUAAUGUAGUUAUCUGAAGGCCCGCAUAUCAUAAAGACAUUAGAGAUACGGAAUGACCAAAACACUAAAGUCGAGUCCACCUACUCGGGGCAGGACACAAUAAGGGGAACCAAAGACUUCGAGGGUCCUAAAUUAUUACUUAACAGAACCCGAAGUAACCUGUUUACUAGAUGGAGCUCGUUACUACGUCCAACCGCAACUUCGGAGUACCGCAAAAAGAACGUCGUUUAGAACCGCCCUUCUGAGACUUCACUAUUAGAAUUUAAACGGUAAAUGGCUGUAAAAGGUCAAAGAACAAACUGAACGGAAAAGAACCUACGCUACUAUUCCCUUGAUUCUUAACGCACGUGAUAACGAGUUUACCUUGUAUUCCCUCCGUAGGCAGGAGCUUACAACGGAAAUCUUGUUGAGUCCACCUACUCGGGGUAGGACACAAUAAGGGGAACCAAAGACUUCGAGGGUCCUAAAUUAUUACUCCACAGAACCCGAAGUAACCUGUCUACUAGAUGGAGCUCGUUACUAUGUAACAUCCAACCGCAACUUCAGACUACCGCAAAAAGAACGUCGUUUAGAACCGUCCUUCUGAGACUUCACUAUUAGAAUUUAAACGGUAAAUGGCUGUAAAAGGUCAAAGAACAAACUGAACGGAAAAGAACCUACGCUACUAUUCCCUUGAUUCUUAACGCACGUGAUAACGAGUUUACCUUGUAUUCCCUCCAUAGUCAGGAGUUUACAACGGAGAUCUUGUUUUCAUUGCGAGUUUUCGGACUUAUCUUAAGGAACCCUUUCCCAUCUACAAUCGAAGUUCUCUUCAUCUGUUAUCUAAAAACGGGUAUCGUGGUAAGUCGGGAUGACGAGGACUCGGGUUUAGGGUACUGGUACGGGGGUGGAGAGGAAACAACUUACUUCCCUCAGACCAACGAUUUUUCACUCAAAAGAAUUAGUCAUACAUACCGGGGAGACGUGUACUACAAAGAAGCAUAAAUACUCCGGGAGUUCGAAACAGUCAAAAGAUUAUCUAUACCUUAAAAUUAAACUAUCAGGGUUGUUGCUACCCAUAACUACCUCGAUAGAUAAUAAAUAACAGUUAGACAUUAUGAAAACAGUCGAAGAUCGUACAGCAACGAGACGGUCUCACGUUAAAAGAGACGUACCGUAUGUGGUCAAUGGUAAUCAACUAUACAAACAACUUCAAAAUAACGUUCAAUUUAUUUACACAUCACACCGUAUGACUAAUAAUAUCAAACUAUUACAGUCCGCGGCUACCGAAAUCUAUACAUUUAUUUUAUACCACUAACAGUGGCCGUACAUCACACCGUAUGAUUAGUUUACUGAUUCGUAAAUUAAUAACAAGACAAUACAAUAACUAAAGUGGCCGAAAUACAGCCGACUAAUCAAGACUUCCUAAGGUGUAGCCGAUUAAAUCUAAUACAAUGAUCUCAUAAUCUUCUUCAAGGACUAUAUACAUAAAUCUCGUAAACGACUCUAAACUACGUUUUAUAACUACUGGUCCGUAAUAUGACGCGUAUUCGUGUUAAAAAAUCAAAAAGAAAAAUAACAACGUCGUUGAAAAGAUAUCGUUAUCGGUUUAUCACACUGUAUUGUGAUAAGGUAAAAGUAUCCGGUAUUGUGUAGAAAUGUACAUUCAAACAAGAGAUCUAUCAAGAGAAAGGUUCUAAAAGUAUAGUAUAAACAACACCCUAGACUGACGAAAUGGUAUAAAAGGACCACACCUGCUACAAUAUCUCACUCGAUGGUAGUGAAGAGUAAUGACUGACAUUAGUUAUAUAUACACAAAUACGGUAUUUUCUACCUAUAAACAGCUUCGGCAACAGCACAGUACAUUAAUGGACCUCUAGUCGAUAUAUCAAAACAAGUCUAACAUUUCACCUUUGCUGUUGAGGACACACUAACAGUAAACUAAUAAAUGAAGGAGUUCAUCAUACCUAUACCACGACGGUCCUAUAAUUCAUAUAAGUACUUCAACAUAUUUGGUGCAAGAUGCUAAGUGAAUACAAUACGUAUAUAUGAAAGGUCAAAAUCCUGACUUUAGGUAGGUAACAUUACUUGAACCAACAUACCCGUA
RNAcentral lists this ribosomal RNA (3379 nucleotides) under Triticum aestivum (bread wheat). RNAcentral's name for it is "partial small subunit ribosomal RNA". The record is from RNAcentral. Lineage: Eukaryota; Viridiplantae; Streptophyta; Magnoliopsida; Poales; Poaceae.